GGGAUUAGCCGAGGGGAUCAUUCUGAUUUGUGAUGGGGUCUUUGCUUUGUACCCCUGCCUCACUGGCGUCGGGUCGGGGUUACGCUUCCUUAGGCAAGUCCGAGGUCCACUUUAUGAGCUAAAGAUGCAUCGUUGAAGGCCAUAGCGAGUGUGAGUUGAGGAUAUAAACCCAUACACGACCUGCUCGGUUGAAAAAUAUCGCUCCAGAGUAGGAAGCUAACUGUGUGCGCUGCACUCCCGGUGAUGCUAGCUAAGGCAAGUUACACAUAUACCUUAGCAUACGUUAGCUAACAUCUCCAGUUGUUGCUAGCCGGCUAACCCUGAGAGUAGAUUUUAAGCACUUUUUAAGACGGCAUAAUGCUGUCUGUACUCGUCGCAAGUGUUUACCCCGUAACAAUUGAGUAAUAAUAAAGUCAUAUAAGGGUUUAAGAAGCGACAGUGUCGCUGUAAGCAGACAGGAAAGCCCGGAAACCUUAAAUGACACUGUAACGUUAACAAAAGAAAGAAUUUGAGCCGCUAAUAGCUCACAAUUAUUUCUGUAACGCCGUCGUGUUUGGUUUUGUGUGUACGGUUUUGGUUUUGAAAUGAAUGUCAUAUAACAGGAAUAAGCAGACUUUUGAGGUCGAAGAUAAACAGAGACACACAUAUAGACUACUUCUUUAUCAUGGGGUAAUUCAGAUCUGUUUUCACCAUGAGAGAGAGUUACCGAGGUGGAAAGUAACUCUUUACAUUUAACACAUUUCACAAACAGUACUCUUACUUCUCAUUUCUAUACUCUUUGAAAGUAUUGCACGUCACCACAUCAUAUAUAUCACCAGUUACUGAGUUGUAAAUUGCUAAAAACAAACAACCUAUGCGCUCUCCAUCAAUUGCAUGGAUAUCUACAGAACAAACAACAUAGAUCUUAUCGAGUGAAACUAUCCAAAUUCUACUUUGUAUAUCUUAUUAUGCUUAAUAUGAGCUACACCUUAACCUGACAGAGCUAAAAUCAAAUCAUGUCUCAACACAUUCUAAGCAAGAGUUUUCUUGAUGAUGUGAAUAUUAGUCCUAUUUAGGGCUGGGUGAUCAAACGAGAAUAUAUUUCCCUCAAUAUCAAUAUAAAACAUGGUCGAUAUGCCUUUCGAUAGUCAGCAUUCUGCCAUGUUUUGGUAGACUAUAUGAACAGCCAAUGGAGAGGGAAGUUGCUCCUGAACUAAUCAUGCGCUGAAUUAGAACCACGUAGCAAACAAUUGCGUAGUAGGGGGCUGCAGCUACAUGCAACCAUAGCACUUUAACACGUGAGGUCGACAGCACUGUCGGUGAGAAAAAAAGAAAAUGAAAAAAAUAUGAUAACAUUGUUGACAACACUGACACGAAAACGUCGGUGGUGUGGAGGUAUUUUGGUUUUUUGAGGUCGGACAUGAAGCAGAGUAAUGUGCACUGCAAAUUUUGUUGAGUACAUGUUCUCGCAAAGUCGGGGAAUACCUAAAAUCUUUUCUACCACCUGAAGCAGAGCAUGCGCAAUGCAAAAGGUUACAAACCCCGAGCGGAGCAAGGAGCCCACGGCGCCUGUGCAGCGAAACAGCUGACCAUUCAGUCCGCUUCCUCUAGCGCAAUGCCUACGACAAAACGUCGAAGAGAAACAAAGACGUCAUAGAUUCAGUAGCUUAUUGUAUUGCAAAAGACAUGCUGCUAAUAAGCACUGUUAAAUUUCAUUUUUUAUAUCCUGAUAUAUAUCGAUAUCGACUGAUACGAAAAAAUAUAUUUCAUGAUGAACUUUUUCCCAUAUCGCCCAGCCCUAGUCCUAAUUAAUGGAAAACUGUCAGGAAAAUGUUUCUCAAUGCAUUGGCAGCCUGUAUUACUCAUUACAUUCAAGAAAGCCUCCAAGUUUGGCAUUUCAUUACAAGCCUCUCUGCACAGCCAGCCAUGACUCCAGUGUGCAAGGACCAUCUACAAAUUGCAAUAUUGGCGAAGGACGCGGCAAGUUCAUUCAAAAACCUCAUUCAGAAUUGGUACAGAGUCCAAAUCACUUCAGACAUUAAUGAUGUAGAUCAUGUCAGAAUGACUAGUAGCAGAAAAUAUAUACCUACACGAUUAAGGGGUCGAAACGUUUCCUUUUCCCCCACUGCCAUGUGUUGCAAGUAAGUAUUUAAUACUGAUAACUACUGUACAUUUCUAAUUAUGUACUUUUUACCUGUACUAUAUCAACAGACUGACAGUUGUUCUUCUGCUGAAGUAAAUGACAUUUUGCCUAAGUAGAAUAUGUUAGUGCUCGUUCCACCCCUCGAGUCUACUCCCAAUACAUCAUAUAAGUAAGUGCAGUAGUAUAAGAGCACAGAUAGUAGUUUUUCUAUAAGUCUAUGUAUGAUUGCAUCCUAAACUUGAGCACAUUGUACUAUAUAUCACUCUGAAAUGUACACAAUAAAAGUGUUUGUCCAUAGAGUUGUAGAGGAGCAGUGAAUGAGGUGAUUUGGACACCAGAAGCUAUUGCAAAUCAAUAACUUAAGAGACAUGCCCAGGCUUGCUAUUUGGGCCUGUAUAAGUUGCUUACGUCAGAACAGAAGUGCAGUUAAGUUUACAGUGUAAUAAUGCACACUUUUGAGUAGAGACAUGUCUGAUGCCCCACCUCGGAAAAAGCACUCUAUUAAUAUAACAGAGAUAUCAUUUAGGAUCUCAGUGAUAUCUUGU
Non-coding RNA from Xyrichtys novacula (pearly razorfish), 2667 nucleotides. Lineage: Eukaryota; Metazoa; Chordata; Actinopteri; Labriformes; Labridae. The record is from the annotation of a GenBank genome assembly.